AUACGGAGGAUGCAAGCGUUAUCCGGAUUUAUUGGGUUUAAAGGGUGCGUAGGCGGUUUGCUAAGCGGGAGGUGAAAUGCCGGCGCUCAACGUCGGAAGUGCCUCCCGAACUGGUGGACUGGAAUGACUCUGCCGUGGGAGGAAUGUGUAGUGUAGCGGUGAAAUGCUUAGAGAUUACACAGAACACCGAUUGCGAAGGCAUCUCACGAAGGGUUGAUUGACGCUGAGGCACGAAAGCGUGGGGAUCAAACAGGAUUAGAUACCCUGGUAGUCCACGCAGUAAACGAUGAUGGCUAACCGCUGGUUUUUUCGGAUCAGUGGCCAAGCGAAAGCGAUAAGCCAUCCACCUGGGGAGUACGACCGCAAGGUUGAAACUCAAAUGAAUUGACGGGGG
This 394-nucleotide ribosomal RNA is filed under the name uncultured bacterium. Its description in RNAcentral is "partial 16S ribosomal RNA". It matches the Rfam family "Bacterial small subunit ribosomal RNA", at positions 523 to 919 of the family's 1533-position model. The record is from RNAcentral.